RNAcentral lists this ribosomal RNA (402 nucleotides) under uncultured bacterium. RNAcentral describes it as "bacterial SSU rRNA". It matches the Rfam family "Bacterial small subunit ribosomal RNA", at positions 355 to 774 of the family's 1533-position model. The record is from RNAcentral.
UGGGGAAUCUUGCACAAUGGGGGCAACCCUGAUGCAGCGACGCCGCGUGAGCGAUGAAGCCCUUCGGGGCGUAAAGCUCUUUCGACCGGAACGAUAAUGACGGUACCGGGAGAAGAAGCUGCGGCUAACUACGUGCCAGCAGCCGCGGUAAUACGUAGGCAGCAAGCGUUGUUCGGAGUUACUGGGCGUAAAGAGUGCGUAGGCGGUUUUCUAAGUUCGGUGUGAAAUCUCCCGGCUUAACUGGGAGGGUGCGCCGAAGACUGGGAAGCUGGAGUGUGGGAAAGGCAGGCGGAAUUCCUGGUGUAGCGGUGAAAUGCGUAGAUAUCAGGAGGAACACCGGCGGUGUAGACGGCGUGCUAGACCAUAACUGACGCUGAGGCACGAAAGCGUGGGUAGCAAACA